AUCAUGACUAGUGCGUAAUAGCAUUAGCUAACAGCUAGUCGAUUUUACCUUUUCCUCCAUUAUGGUCAUAUAUAGUCUGUGUUACAGACUAUAUCAACUUCUGUGUUGACACUGUGGUUCCCAAAAAAUACAUUCUGUGCUUCCCCAACAAUAGGCCCUGGGUUACCAAAGCCAUCAAAGCAACCCUGAACAAGAAAAAAAGAGCUUUCAGAAACGGUGACAGAGAUCAGCUGAAACUGGUGCAGAAGGAGCUGAAAGCCAAGAUUGCAGAGGGUAAAGAGUCCUACAGAAGGAGGCUGGAAAACAAACUGCAGGAAAACAACACCAGGGAGGUGUGGAAUGGAAUGCGGGCCAUCACUUGCCUGAGACAAAAGAGAGGUGUUGGGAUGGAUGGGGACGUCGGAAGUGCUAACAACCUAAAUCUGCACUUCAAUAGGUUUGACUGCCAUGUGUCUCCUGUCUCCACACCCAGCUCUUCCCAUCUUCUCCUUUCUCCUCCCCCCUCACCUGCCCCCUCAGACUGUCUAACCCUGUCCCUCUCAGCAGAUGACAUCAAAAGAGAAUUGGGCAGACUCCACUCCAGCAAAGCUGCUGGCCCUGACGGUGUCAGUCCCAGGGCCCUCAGGUUCUGUGCUUCCCAGCUGUCUGGAGUUCUACAACGGAUCUUCAACAUGAGUCUGGAAAUGCAGAGAGUCCCAUCACUCUGGAAGACAUCCUGCCUGGUUCCUGUCCCUAAAAAGAUCAACCUGUUGACCCUCGGUGACUACAGGCCAGUGGCUCUGACCUCACAUGUCAUGAAGACGCUAGAGAGGCUCAUCCUGAAACAUCUGCGUCUGCUCGUGGAGCCCCGGCUGGACCCCCUGCAGUUUGCUUAUCAACCUCGUAUCGGCGUGGAGGAUGCCAUCAUCUACCUGCUGGACCAGGCUUAUUCUCAUCUGGACAUUGUUGGGAGCACUGUGAGGGUCAUGUUCUUUGACUUCUCAAGUGCUUUUAACACGAUCAGACCAUCACUGCUGGGGAAUAAGCUCACGGAAAUGCAGGUGGACGCCCCACUGGUAGGUUGGAUUACGGACUAUUUAACAAGUCGACCACAGUAUGUCCGACUGAAGAGCUGCCGCUCAGAUAACAUCCUGAGCAGCACAGGGGCGCCGCAGGGGACGGUACUAUCACCCUUCCUCUUCACCCUCUACACAUCUGACUUCAGGUACAAGUCUCAGUCAUGUCAUCUGCAGAAAUUCUCAGAUGACUCUGCCAUCGUGGGCUGUAUCAGGGAUGGACAGGAGGAGGAGUACAGGAGUGUGGUGGACAGCUUUGUCGAGUGGUGUGAGCUAAACCACCUACAACUUAACAUCACAAAGACAAAAGAACUGAUUAUGGACUUCAGGAAGCAGGCUCCUCCUCCUACCCCUGUCACCAUCAGAGGGGCUGAUGUGGAGAUAGUUGAGGACUACCGGUACCUGGGGGUACACUUGGACUGUAAACUGGACUGGACCAAGAACACCAAUGCUGUCUUCAAAAAAGGGCAGAGUCGGCUUUUCCUACUGAGGCGACUCAGGUCCUUCAAUGUUGGUAGGAAAAUGCUGACCAUGUUCUAUCACUCGGUGUUGGAGAGCGUCGUGUUCUUUGCAGCUGUGUGCUGGGGAAGUGGGGUGAAGACAGCUGAUGCCAACAGGCUGAACAAACUGAUUAAAAAGGCUGGUUCUGUCCUGGGUGUCAGACUUGAGAACCUGGAGGAGGUGUCUGAGAGGAGAAUGCUAAAAAAGCUUCUUUCUAUCAUGGACAACCCCUGUCACCCCAUGCACGCCCCCAUGAUGGACCAUCGGAGCAAACGCAGCAAAAGACUCAUUGCCCCAAAAUGCAGAACUGACCGCCACAGUAAAGCCUUUGUGCCGGUGGCAAUAAGACUGUAUAACUUUUCCUCACUCUGUAGGUGAUUUUCCUGAGACUAUUACCAAUGUUAUUCUGUUCCUUUUCAGACCGUGCAAUAUUAUCCAACAGUACCUUAUUGAAUAUUGAAUAUUUGUUUCAUCCCCCCAUCAUACGCUGCUACUCCCUUUAUUCUAUUGCACAAUACUAUGUCACUUUCUAGAAUUGCCUGCACUGAUAGUUAAGUUAUUUAUUCUCCAGGAUACAGUCAUUUAUAUUAUUUCAUUAGAGUUAUUUGAUACCAUGUCUUGCACUAUCCUACUACUGUACAUUACUGUAUACUACUAUUCUUAUUGUAUAUAUUGUAUAUCAUCUUAUUUAUCUGUUCCUCUGUCUCUCCCGCUGCUUUGAGCAUGUACAUGACAAAAGAAUUUCCC
Molecule: long non-coding RNA, 2303 nt
Organism: Oreochromis niloticus (Nile tilapia)
Lineage: Eukaryota; Metazoa; Chordata; Actinopteri; Cichliformes; Cichlidae
Source: Ensembl